This 321-nucleotide unclassified non-coding RNA is filed under the name Hevea brasiliensis (rubber tree). Lineage: Eukaryota; Viridiplantae; Streptophyta; Magnoliopsida; Malpighiales; Euphorbiaceae. The record is from RNAcentral.
UGGAAGAAGAUAAUGAAAACCCUUAGCCAACGAUUCAUAUGCAUGGAUAUUUUGGACAAACAAAUGGUUUUAUGCAAAUAGUAAAGGUGUGAAUAUUGGUUAACAGAAAAAGUACCUAGUAAGUUGCUAAUAUGGAUUUUCAGGCUUUGUCUGCCUAGGAGACCCAACAUUGGCACCAAUUCACGAGUUCUUAAUCAGAUCAUGGCAAAUUGGCAAUCAACUGAAGUAUUGUGCUUUUGGAGUUUUAAAUGAUGCAGAGAGAUAUAAUGAUUAGCCAACAACAGGUUAAAGGAACUUAUAAAUAAUACAGUGGCAUUCCAG